Long non-coding RNA from Homo sapiens (human), 290 nucleotides. RefSeq lists it as uncharacterized. Lineage: Eukaryota; Metazoa; Chordata; Mammalia; Primates; Hominidae. The transcript is spliced from 2 exons. The record is from RefSeq and is a predicted model, not a curated record.
GUUGGCCUCAACUUUCCUGAAGCCAAAGCGGGAAGGUUAAGGCCUGGGUGAGCUAGCGGAAAUGCACUGGAGAUGAGAAAAUCAAUGCCCAGAGAUUCUAAGUGAAGCCACCUCAGUGACAUAGACUGCUGAGACCCAACUCUGGAACCUCUCUCCCGUCCUUCCCUCUAGACUUAGCAGCUCUGCAUGCCUGCCUCUCUCACCUGGAUGCUUUGGAGCCAAGCUUUCGUCCCAUGCAAGGGAAACAACCACUUCUGGGAUGUCCGCUGCAAUCUGCUCCGGGGCUGCAG